UGCUAGUCGCACGAGUUCAGACUCGUGGCGAAUAGCUCAGUAACACGUGGCCAAACUACCCUUCGGAGCUCCAUACCCUCGGGAAACUGAGGCUAAUAGAGCAUAUCACACCACCACUGGAAUGAGUGGUAUGUCAAACGCUCCGGCGCCGAAGGAUGUGGCUGCGGCCGAUUAGGUAGACGGUGGGGUAACGGCCCACCGUGCCAAUAAUCGGUAUGGGUCAUGAGAGUGAGAACCCAGAGACGGAAUCUGAGACAAGAUUCCGGGCCCUACGGGGCGCAGCAGGCGCGAAACCUUUACACUGCACGACAGUGCGAUAGGGGGAUCCCAAGUGCACAGGCAUAGCGCCUGUGCUUUUCGGUACCCUAAGGCGGUACCAGAAUAAGGGCUGGGCAAGACCGGUGCCAACCGCCGCGGUAAUACCGGCAGCCCAAGUGAUGGCCGAUCUUAUUGGGCCUAAAGCGUCCGUAGCUGGCCACGCAAGUCCAUCGGGAAAUCCACCUGCUCAACAGGUGGGCGCCCGGUAGAAACUGCGUGGCUUGGGACCGGAAGGCGCGACGGGUACGUCCGGGGUAGGAGUGAAAUCCCGUAAUCCUGGACGGACCGCCGAUGGCGAAAGCACGUCACGAGGACGGAUCCGACAGUGAGGGACGAAAGCCAGGGUCUCGAACCGGAUUAGAUACCCGGGUAGUCCUGGCCGUAAACAAUGCCUGCUAGGUGUGGCUCCCACUACG
This 734-nucleotide ribosomal RNA is filed under the name uncultured archaeon. RNAcentral describes it as "bacterial SSU rRNA". It matches the Rfam family "Archaeal small subunit ribosomal RNA", at positions 52 to 787 of the family's 1478-position model. The record is from RNAcentral.